GAGAUUCCCCCGCCUGGGGCUCAACCUGUUUCUCCCCAAGGGUCUCAGCCCGUUGCACUGGUGGGCAUCCCUUCCCCGUUUGGACUUGGUGCUUGGUGUCCACCAUGUCCACCACAGUCCAAGGCGCCCCCUGUUCCAUACUGUUUCCCCGGGCCACAACACCUUGCCAUGACUGGCUCGUCGGCUCAAGGGAUUUCGUGAGCAUCUGCUGGUGUUGGUGCCUCAUAGGACUUCGAUCUGCAAGCUUGGACAUUGUCAUGGUGUGGUGUGAUUGCUUUUGGUACUACUUACAGUGUUGAUGGUGACCGUUGAUGCAAAUGGACUGGCUGCUCCUUGCUACUGAAGAUCCAACAAUGUCAAUCCAACAAUGGCAUUGCGCUUUUAUCAUUAUUUAGAUCAAUAAUUAACAGCUUGUGUGCCAUAGAUCUUAUUUGACUGUACUUUUCAUUAAUGUUACUUUUGUAAUGUUUAGUUGUUGGUGUCAUGCUACUAUGUGCCAUCAGGUUAUUCUUUUCUAAAAAAAUGUGCCAUCAGGUUAUGUGUGUGAUGUUGCUUCGGCAUAAUCUGUCAGCUAGCUAUUAAAAUGAACUAUGUUGCUUCAGAUUAAUUUAUUUUGGUAUGUCUUAAUGACUGCAA
This is a long non-coding RNA of Panicum virgatum (switchgrass), 636 nucleotides long. RefSeq lists it as uncharacterized. The record is from RefSeq and is a predicted model, not a curated record. NCBI's taxonomy places the organism in Eukaryota, Viridiplantae, Streptophyta, Magnoliopsida, Poales, Poaceae. The transcript is spliced from 3 exons.